UACAGAGGUCCCAAGCGUUGUUCGGACUCAUUGGGCGUAAAGGGUGCGUAGGCGGUGGGGUAAGUUGGAUGUGAAAUCUUGGGGCUUAACCUCAAAAUUGCAUUCAAUACUGCUCCGCUCGAGUUCUGUAGAGGAGAUUGGAAUUUACGGUGUAGCAGUGAAAUGCGUAGAUAUCGUAAGGAACGCCAGUGGCGAAAGCGAAUCUCUGGGCAGCAACUGACGCUGAGGCACGAAGGCCAGGGGAGCAAACGGG
Molecule: ribosomal RNA, 253 nt
Filed under: uncultured bacterium
Lineage: Bacteria
Description: partial 16S ribosomal RNA
Rfam family: Bacterial small subunit ribosomal RNA
Source: RNAcentral